This 820-nucleotide ribosomal RNA is filed under the name uncultured bacterium. RNAcentral describes it as "bacterial SSU rRNA". It matches the Rfam family "Bacterial small subunit ribosomal RNA", at positions 66 to 880 of the family's 1533-position model. The record is from RNAcentral.
CGACGGAUCAGGAGAGCUUGCUUUUCUGGUUAGUGGCGAACGGGUGAGUAACACGUGAGUAACCUGCCCUUCACUCUGGGAUAACUCCGGGAAACCGGGGCUAAUACUGGAUAUGACCCGAACAGGCAUCUGUAUCGGGUGGAAAGAUUUAUUGGUGGGGGAUGGACUCGCGGCCUAUCAGCUUGUUGGUGAGGUAAUGGCUUACCAAGGCGACGACGGGUAGCCGGCCUGAGAGGGCGAUCGGCCACACUGGGACUGAGACACGGCCCAGACUCCUACGGGAGGCAGCAGUGGGGAAUAUUGCACAAUGGGCGAAAGCCUGAUGCAGCGACGCCGCGUGAGGGAUGAAGGCCUUCGGGUUGUAAACCUCUUUCAGCAGGGAAGAAGUGGCCGGGUUUUCUCGGUUGUGACGGUACCUGCAGAAGAAGCACCGGCUAACUACGUGCCAGCAGCCGCGGUAAUACGUAGGGUGCGAGCGUUGUCCGGAAUUAUUGGGCGUAAAGAGCUUGUAGGCGGUUUGUCGCGUCUGCUGUGAAAUUUCGGGGCUCAACCCCGAACUUGCAGUGGGUACGGGCAGACUAGAGUGUGGUAGGGGAGACUGGAAUUCCUGGUGUAGCGGUGAAAUGCGCAGAUAUCAGGAGGAACACCGAUGGCGAAGGCAGGUCUCUGGGCCACUACUGACGCUGAGAAGCGAAAGCAUGGGGAGCGAACAGGAUUAGAUACCCUGGUAGUCCAUGCCGUANACGUUGGGAACUAGGUGUGGGUCNCAUUCCACGAGAUCCGUGCCGCAGCUAACGCAUUAAGUUCCCCGCCUGGGGAG